AUGGGGUGCGUGUUCUCGAGGCGGGAAAAGCGGGAGGGGUCGGCGCGGCCGCAGGGGAGGUCCGUCCAGCCGCAGCCGUACCACCACCAGCAGAACCAGCAGCAGCAGGCGCAGGCGCUCGGCGCGGUCUUCGACGCGCGCCGGGGCCGCUACGGCCCCACCGACUUCGACUCCGGGGAGAUCGCCAUCCCGCCGCCGCACAAGCCCCACAAGGUAUCAGAACCAGGCACAUUUAUAGGAAGAGCCAGCAUUGCUGGCCUGGAGAAGGCCGUUGAGGUGUUAGAUACCCUUGGCAGCGGCAUCGCAAGUUUGAAUCACGGCAGUGGGUUUCUCUACGGGGGAACAACCCGAGGAAAUAAAGUCGAGAUUCUGGCAUUCGAAGUCGCAAAUACAAUAGCUAAAGCUUCCAAUUUGUGGAGGUCAUGCUCUGACGAUAAUAUAAAAGAACUCAAGGAAGAAAUCUUGCAUUCAGAUGGUGUGCGGAUAUUAAUCUCCUCAGAUCCCAGCGAGCUCCUGCAUAUUGCUGCUAUCGACAAAAGGGAAGAACUCGCCAUCCUUUCAAGAGAAGUAAUUCGAUUUGGUGACCUGUGUAAAGACCCCAUAUGGCAUAACUUGGGACGCUAUUUUGAGAAGUCAACAAAGGAUUCCAUGCCCCAGGAUCAUUCAAAAGAGCAUAUUGGAACUACCGUCCAGCAUUUGAUUAGCUUGGCUCAAAACACUUCUGAGCUUUACCAUGAAUUGCACGCGCUGGAUAGAUUUGAGCAGGAUUUUCAAAGGAAAUUUCAUGAAGAGGAGUCUGUACCGGCAGCUAGAAGAGAGAGUGUUAUGAUUUUGCACAGUGAACUAAAGCGCCAAAGGAAGCUUGUGAAAACUUUGAAGAAGAAAUCCUUGUGGUCCAGACCUUUGGAGGAUGUCGUGGAAAAGCUUGUUGAUAUCGUCAUUUUUCUGGAUAAACAAAUCCGGGAUGCAUUCGGUGAAGCUGUUACUGUAGGUACUGACUUCAUGGAGCAAGGUCAGAACAAAAGGCUAAGUGCAUGUGGUCUGGCACUACAUUAUGCUAACAUCAUCAAUCAAAUUGAAAACAUAGUUUCUCGGCCGCUCUCUCUUCCUCCUAGCGCUAGGGACAACUUGUACCAUGGACUGCCAGAAACAGUGAAGUCAGCUCUGCGGCCACGGUUGCAAUCAGUCAAAACUGAAGAUGAGGAGCGUUCUGUAUCUCAAAUCAAAGCCGAAAUGCAGAAAACCCUUCGCUGGCUGCUGCCAAUAGCAGAAAAUACAACAAGAGCACAUCAAGGGUUCGGGUGGGUCGGCGAGUGGGCAAACUUCGGGAGUGACAUGGACGAGAAAUCGGGUUCCCGGCACAGCGUGACCCGGGUGCAGACGCUGCACCACGCCGACAAGGCCAAGACGGAGGAGCACAUGCUGGAGCUGGUGGUGCUGCUCCACCACCUGGUGCUCCAGGUGAAGAGCCGAGGCUACGGGCACAACAAGUCGUCAAGGCGGGAACGGUCUCGGUCCCGCAAGGGAGGACCGUCGUUGUCAGAACCGCCGCCUCAUGAAGCAGACGCCACUAGGCACAACACGUCGCCGAUGAACAACAGCCAUGGCAGCACGUGCCCUAGCCCGCUGUCGGACUCUGACCGCGAGACGCUGGACCACCUGAGCUUCAAGUGGACGAGGAGCUACGGCCGGAGCAAGAGCUCCGAGCCUCGGCCCGGCAAGGGGAACAAGGCGCACCGGAGCUGGGACUUGUGCCGGAGCCAUGGCAGCUCGCCGGCGAGGGAGUUCGGGCGGGGCUCGACCUCCGGGCGUGAGAUGGUGAGGGACCUGGAUGUGAUAGAUGGGCUGGGUAGAACGACUCUUUCGUUUAGUUAG
Molecule: ribosomal RNA, 1875 nt
Filed under: Triticum aestivum (bread wheat)
Lineage: Eukaryota; Viridiplantae; Streptophyta; Magnoliopsida; Poales; Poaceae
Description: partial small subunit ribosomal RNA
Source: RNAcentral